Molecule: transfer RNA, 68 nt
Filed under: Kannabateomys amblyonyx (Atlantic bamboo rat)
Lineage: Eukaryota; Metazoa; Chordata; Mammalia; Rodentia; Echimyidae
Description: tRNA-Thr
Rfam family: tRNA
About the family: Transfer RNA (tRNA) molecules are approximately 80 nucleotides in length. Their secondary structure includes four short double-helical elements and three loops (D, anti-codon, and T loops).
Source: RNAcentral
GCCUUAGUAGUAUAAAAAUUACACUGGUUUUGUAAACCAGAAACGGAGUAUAUAACCUCCCCAAGGCA